This 301-nucleotide ribosomal RNA is filed under the name uncultured bacterium. RNAcentral's name for it is "partial 16S ribosomal RNA". It matches the Rfam family "Bacterial small subunit ribosomal RNA", at positions 509 to 807 of the family's 1533-position model. The record is from RNAcentral.
CAGUAGCCGCGGUAAUACAGAGGGUGCGAGCGUUAAUCGGAUUUACUGGGCGUAAAGCGUGCGUAGGCGGCUUUUUAAGUCGGAUGUGAAAUCCCUGAGCUUAACUUAGGAAUUGCAUUCGAUACUGGGAAGCUAGAGUAUGGGAGAGGAUGGUAGAAUUCCAGGUGUAGCGGUGAAAUGCGUAGAGAUCUGGAGGAAUACCGAUGGCAAAGGCAGCCAUCUGGCCUAAUACUGACGCUGAGGUACGAAAGCAUGGGGAGCAAACAGGAUUAGAUACCCCGGUAGUCCCUGUCUCUUAUAC